GACGAACCGUGCGAACGUUGUUCGGAAUAACUGGGCAUAAAGGGCGCGUAGGCGGGCCCGAAAGUCAGGGGUGAAAUCCCACGGCUCAACCGUGGAAGCGCCUUUGAUACUGCGGGCCUGGAGGGAGGCAGGGGAGUGCGGAACUUCCGGUGGAGCGGUGAAAUGCGUAGAUAUCGGAAGGAACACCGGUGGCGAAAGCGGCGCUCUGGACCUCUACUGACGCUGAGGCGCGAAAGCCAGGGGAGCGAACGGG
This 253-nucleotide ribosomal RNA is filed under the name uncultured bacterium. RNAcentral's name for it is "partial 16S ribosomal RNA". It matches the Rfam family "Bacterial small subunit ribosomal RNA", at positions 524 to 776 of the family's 1533-position model. The record is from RNAcentral.